GAGCUAAUACAUGCUAACAGGCUCGACCUUACGGAAGAGGUGCUUUUAUUAGAUCAAAACCAAACGGCUUCGGCUGUACUCUUGGUGACUCUGAAUAACUUUGGGCUGAUCGCAUAGCCUUGCGCUGGCGACAUAUCCUUCGAAGGUGUGCCCUAUCAACUGUCGACUGUGGCAUAGACGCCCACAGUGGUUUUGACGGGUAACGGGGAAUCAGGGUUCGAUUCCGGAGAGGGAGCCUUAAAAACGGCUACCACAUCUAAGGAAGGCAGCAGGCACGCAAAUUACCCAAUGACCGAAGGUCGAGGUAGUGACGAAAAAUAACGAUAGCGGACUCUUCCGAGGCCCGCUAAUUGGAAUGAGUACACUUUAAAACCGUCCCCGAGGAUCUAUUGGAGGGCAAGUCUGGUGCCAGCAGCCGCGGUAAUUCCAGCUCCAAUAGCGUAUAUUAAAGUUGUUGUGGUUAAAAAGCUCGUAGUUGGAUCUCAACGGCCUUGGAGCGGUUAUCAUGCUUGAUAGACUGCUCUGUAGGCCGUGCUUUUGCUGGAGGUUUAGGGGUGCUCUUAAUCGAGUGUCUCUGGAUGCCAGCAGGUUUACUUUGAAAAAAUUAGAGUGCUCAAAGCGGGCUGUUACGCCUGAAUAUUCGUGCAUGGAAUAAUAGAAUAGGAUGUCGAUCCUAUUUUGUUGGUUUUCGGGACUCGACAUAAUGAUUAAUAGGGACAGUCGGGGGCAUUUGUAUUCAAACGACAGAGGUGAAAUUCUUGGACCGUUUGAAGACAAACUACA
This 783-nucleotide ribosomal RNA is filed under the name uncultured marine eukaryote. RNAcentral describes it as "SSU rRNA". It matches the Rfam family "Eukaryotic small subunit ribosomal RNA", at positions 161 to 944 of the family's 1831-position model. The record is from RNAcentral.